GACGAACGCUGGCGGCGUGCUUAACACAUGCAAGUCGAACGGAAAGGCCCUGCUUUUGUGGGGUGCUCGAGUGGCGAACGGGUGAGUAACACGUGAGUAACCUGCCCUUGACUUUGGGAUAACUUCAGGAAACUGGGGCUAAUACCGGAUAGGAGCUCCUGCUGCAUGGUGGGGGUUGGAAAGUUUCGGCGGUUGGGGAUGGACUCGCGGCUUAUCAGCUUGUUGGUGGGGUAGUGGCUUACCAAGGCUUUGACGGGUAGCCGGCCUGAGAGGGUGACCGGCCACAUUGGGACUGAGAUACGGCCCAGACUCCUACGGGAGGCAGCAGUGGGGAAUAUUGCACAAUGGGCGGAAGCCUGAUGCAGCAACGCCGCGUGCGGGAUGACGGCCUUCGGGUUGUAAACCGCUUUCGCCUGUGACGAAGCGUGAGUGACGGUAAUGGGUAAAGAAGCACCGGCUAACUACGUGCCAGCAGCCGCGGUGAUACGUAGGGUGCGAGCGUUGUCCGGAUUUAUUGGGCGUAAAGGGCUCGUAGGUGGUUGAUCGCGUCGGAAGUGUAAUCUUGGGGCUUAACCCUGAGCGUGCUUUCGAUACGGGUUGACUUGAGGAAGGUAGGGGAGAAUGGAGUUCCUGGUGGAGCGGUGGAAUGCGCAGAUAUCAGGAGGAACACCAGUGGCGAAGGCGGUUCUCUGGGCCUUUCCUGACGCUGAGGAGCGAAAGCGUGGGGAGCGAACAGGCUUAGAUACCCUGGUAGUCCACGCUGUAAACGGUGGGUACUAGGUGUGGGGUCCAUUCCACGGGUUCCGUGCCGUAGCUAACGCUUUAAGUACCCCGCCUGGGGAGUACGGCCGCAGGGCUAAAACUCAAAGGAAUUGACGGGGCCCCGCACAAGCGGCGGAGCAUGCGGAUUAAUUCGAUGCAACGCGUAGAACCUUACCUGGGUUUGACAUGGAUCGGGAGUGCUCAGAGAUGGGUGUGCCUCUUUUGGGGUCGGUUCACAGGUGGUGCAUGGCUGUCGUCAGCUCGUGUCGUGAGAUGUUGGGUUAAGUCCCGCAACGAGCGCAACCCUUGUUCACUGUUGCCAGCACGUUAUGGUGGGGACUCAGUGGAGACCGCCGGGGUCAACUCGGAGGAAGGUGGGGAUGACGCCAAGUCAUCAUGCCCCUUAUGUCCAGGGCUUCACGCAUGCUACAAUGGCUGGUACAGAGAGUGGCGAGCCUGUGAGGGUGAGCGAAUCUCGGAAAGCCGGUCUCAGUUCGGAUUGGGGUCUGCAACUCGACCUCAUGAAGUCGGAGUCGCUAGUAAUCGCAGAUCAGCAACGCUGCGGUGAAUACGUUCCCGGG
Molecule: ribosomal RNA, 1343 nt
Filed under: uncultured bacterium
Lineage: Bacteria
Description: 16S ribosomal RNA
Rfam family: Bacterial small subunit ribosomal RNA
Source: RNAcentral